GACGAACGCUGGCGGCGUGCUUAACACAUGCAAGUCGAACGGAAAGGCCCUGCUUUUGUGGGGUGCUCGAGUGGCGAACGGGUGAGUAACACGUGAGGAACCUGCCCUUGACUUUGGGAUAACUUCAGGAAACUGGGGCUAAUACCGGAUAGGAGCUCCUGCUGCAUGGGGGGGGUUGGAAAGUUUCGGCGGUUGGGGAUGGACUCGCGGCUUAUCAGCUUGAUGGGGGGGUAGUGGCUUACCAAGGCUUUGACGGGUAGCCGGCCUGAGAGGGUGACCGGCCACCUUGGGACUGCGGUACGGCCCAGACUCCUACGGGAGGCAGCGGUGGGGAAUAUUGCACAAUGGGCGGAAGCCUGAUGCAGCAACGCCGCGUGCGGGAUGACGGCCUUCGGGUUGUAAACCGCUUUCGCCUGUGCCGAAGCGUGAGUGACGGUAAUGGGUAAAGAAGCACCGGCUAACUACGUG
Molecule: ribosomal RNA, 468 nt
Filed under: uncultured bacterium
Lineage: Bacteria
Description: partial 16S ribosomal RNA
Rfam family: Bacterial small subunit ribosomal RNA
Source: RNAcentral